CGUUCUAUGGCCAAAUUGGUAAGGGCAUCGCCGAUCACAGCCGAUGAUGCGGGUUCGAGUCCCGCUGGAACGG
Molecule: transfer RNA, 73 nt
Filed under: Operophtera brumata (winter moth)
Lineage: Eukaryota; Metazoa; Arthropoda; Insecta; Lepidoptera; Geometridae
Rfam family: tRNA
About the family: Transfer RNA (tRNA) molecules are approximately 80 nucleotides in length. Their secondary structure includes four short double-helical elements and three loops (D, anti-codon, and T loops). Further hydrogen bonds mediate the characteristic L-shaped molecular structure. tRNAs have two regions of fundamental functional importance: the anti-codon, which is responsible for specific mRNA codon recognition, and the 3' end, to which the tRNAs corresponding amino acid is attached (by aminoacyl-tRNA synthetases). tRNAs cope with the degeneracy of the genetic code in two manners: having more than one tRNA (with a specific anti-codon) for a particular amino acid; and 'wobble' base-pairing, i.e. permitting non-standard base-pairing at the 3rd anti-codon position.
Source: Rfam by way of RNAcentral